GGCAACGACGGGCCGGCGGCGGCGGUAAUAGGUGGGGGGCGGGCGUUGGCCGGAGGUGCUGGGCGUAAAGGGCAUGCAGGCGGUCGGACGCUGUUUGUGUGACAGCGGGUGGCUCAACUACCCGAGCAUGCGAAAGACGGUUGGACGUGAGGGCUCGAGAGGGACACGGAAUUCCGGGUGGAGUGGUGAAAUGCGUAGAGAUCCGGAGGAACACCGAAGGCGAAGGCAGUGUCCUGGCGAGUGACUGACGCUGAGGUGCGAAAGCCAGGGGAGCGAACGGGAUUAGAUACCCCUGUAGUC
This 300-nucleotide ribosomal RNA is filed under the name uncultured Ignicoccus sp. Its description in RNAcentral is "bacterial SSU rRNA". It matches the Rfam family "Bacterial small subunit ribosomal RNA", at positions 496 to 795 of the family's 1533-position model. Lineage: Archaea; Thermoproteati; Thermoproteota; Thermoprotei; Desulfurococcales; Desulfurococcaceae. The record is from RNAcentral.